This 468-nucleotide ribosomal RNA is filed under the name uncultured bacterium. RNAcentral describes it as "partial 16S ribosomal RNA". It matches the Rfam family "Bacterial small subunit ribosomal RNA", at positions 28 to 507 of the family's 1533-position model. The record is from RNAcentral.
GACGAACGCUGGCGGCGUGCUUAACACAUGCAAGUCGAACGGAAAGGCCCUGCUUUUGUGGGGUGCUCGAGUGGCGAACGGGUGAGUAACACGUGAGUAACCUGCCCUUGACUUUGGGAUAACUUCAGGAAACUGGGGCUAAUACCGGAUAGGAGCUCCUGCUGCAUGGUGGGGGUUGGAAAGUUUCGGCGGUUGGGGAUGGACUCGCGGCUUAUCAGCUUGUUGGUGGGGUAGUGGCUUACCAAGGCUUUGACGGGUAGCCGGCCUGAGAGGGUGACCGGCGACAUUGGGACUGAGAGACGGCCCAGACUCCUACGGGAGGCAGCAGUGGGGAAUAUUGCACAAUGGGCGGAAGCCUGAUGCAGCAACGCCGCGUGCGGGAUGACGGCCUUCGGGUGGUAAACCGCUUUCGCCUGUGACGAAGCGUGAGUGACGGUAAUGGGUAAAGAAGCACCGGCUAACUACGUG